UGGCGCACGCCGCGCACAAACUUCGCGCACGCACACUGGUGAUUGCUUUAUUCUGUGUGGCUUUCAUGUCUUCUCUGCCCGGCGCGAUGCGUUAUCACCGCGGCCUCACUGCUCAUGUAGCGCUUUCCGUCUUUUUGGGCGCAGGUGGUGCGCAGGCGCGGGACGGCAGCGACGGUGUCAUGGAGAACUUCUCCAUCUUUCUCUUCCUGUUCAUCGGCGGCAUCGCCCUGGGGGCGGUCAUCAUGCUGCCCAUCGCGUGUCUCCGCUGGCAAGGGCUGCCGCUCGAGUUGCAGCCACGCGAGCGCUGCAUGUGGGAGACGGCGCCGUCGAGCAAGAUGAGCGCCGCCAACCUUGUCUUGAUGAGCAAGAUCAAGACGGACACGCUGGACUCGAAGAAGAAUGCGCUGAGGGCUGGCGUGCUGUAGGCGGCGGCCACCUUGAACACGUCGCCAGCCGCGUUUGCUAGCCCCUCGUUAUGCGCGCCAGCAGGGAAGUCGAUGGACGACAGGUCGCAGCAGGCGCAUCACCUCGGCUCUGAACUACUACAACUCCGCCUGCUCGGUCAGGUGUGUCAUCCCAGAUGGCGCCGCCGCCGCCGAAGACGACGACUCCUAUACUUCCUCACGGCGCAAGAUGUAAAAUGCGUGAGCGAGUGCCGGAUACCGCUCUCCUGCUCUCGACCCCUCUCUUCGCAUGCGAUGCGUGUGGCCACGUUGUCCAUUCGUCAUCCUGCGCACCUCUGCCGCUCUUCCCCCUCCCCUCCCUCGCCCUGAUGUCUGCAUUUUGCUCUCCGUGGGCGUCUCUUCUCAUUCUGUGGGCGUUCGCACAUUUUUGGAGCUGCGCCCACGACCCCCUCCACCACCACCACCCCUUGCUUGGCUUCGUUCUUCGACGAGGGUGGUACAUGUGCAUCACGCAGGCACCCACACGCACACGCACUCUCUCUGUGUGUGCAGGCGUGCGCUUGUGUAUGCGCUCAGCGGUCUCUUUCCUGAAAAAGACGAAACAUUUGGUUCAUCAUUCUCCACUCGGUUGGGCGUCGAGGAUCGGGGGAGUGGCCGCCGGCAACCCCCUCCCCCCACCCCCCAACCCGUGCUUCCGAAUCGCCGCGGGGUGGUGAGGCGAGAAGUCAGAGGUCGCUCGCACGCUGCUGGGCCUUGUACGGACUGGGCAAGUGGCCGCUGUCGAUGAAAACGCGUCAUGCCGUCUCCUGGGGGCCCAGGUACAGGGCCGCGAUGUGUACGCUCUCAUGAUCCGAAAACUCACCCCCUCCUUGCCUGCAUGGCCUCUGGCGUCUAUCCUGUCCUCUGCUCGCACAG
RNAcentral lists this unclassified non-coding RNA (1319 nucleotides) under Leishmania donovani. Its description in RNAcentral is "gene:LdHU3.05.1260(CDS-product:hypothetical_prote in_conserved)". Lineage: Eukaryota; Euglenozoa; Kinetoplastea; Trypanosomatida; Trypanosomatidae. The record is from RNAcentral.